AGAGCUGGGGAGGCUGGGGAGGCGGCUGGCCGGCGGGAAAAAGUGGAGACCAGGAUGCUCAGAUCCUGAAGGCUGAAGGCUACCCAGUAGAGGCAGCCUCAAGCCCACUGCCAGAGUCCGCCGGCGGCUCUGCGGUUCCAGGAUCAGCAGUCUCGGUGGAGAUGCUUCUAGGAGACGUCCUGGAGUUGGAAGAGGCCAGCGGCUGGGCUGGCCGUUCUCCUUCCGCCGGCUCACUCCCGCCUGCGCCGGCGGCCGCCCGCCUGCCAGCACUAAGGUCACUCCGCCAUCGCGGCCAUCUUGUUCCUCUGGCUGAAUUAAAUCCAUUUCUAAGAACACCCCCACCCCCACCGCACCCCUCAGCGCACCCGCACCUACACCGCAGCCCCUCUGCAGGGCCCCUGCCUCCUUUUGUAACCGCGAGGCAGUAUCCCAAGUCAGAGGCAUUUGUAGAAGAUCUAUGGAACAGUAGACAGAGCCUGAAGUCAGGAAGACCUCUUUCCUGACCACCAAUCUGACCUCUCACACAGAUGAGCCUGUGAUGCUAGGAAAGUCACAACCCUGUGGCCUUCAGUUUCCUCCUCUGAGGUGAGCUAAGGAAAGAAAUGGCGAGUCCCUCCAGUAUCUUGGCCAAGAAAACUCCAAAUUUUGUCACAAAGAGAUCUGUAUGAAUGAGCAGUAAAUGAAUCCCAGAGACUUCUGCCUACAUAGAUUAUUUCUUUCUUUGUACUUGCAUCCUCCCUCCCUAGCAUGGUGUUUGACAUUAUGCAGGUUACUACUAACAAAUUCUUUUUUAAUGAUUGAUUCUAUUUUUUUUCUACUCCUGAUUUGCUCCACUGAAGACUUCUUCUGAUGCCUUAUUGUGACCUGGAGAUGAGUCUGAAUUCCUGAAGAUUUAAAUUAAUUGAUUAAGUACAUUUUAAAUACAGGCUGGAAUAUGCUGGAACUAUCUCCAGAUGCUUAAGAAAGCCAAUUGUUACAUUUUAAGAGGGAGCAUUUAUCCCUCGGGAAUCAGUACAUAUUGAAUAUCAGGGUUUGAUUUAUUGUUUGUUUAUUGUCUAGACAUAAUCAAGUGAAGGAGGAAUUUAGUGAUGAAGAUUAGACAUCAUUGUGUGCCAUAACUUUUUAUUUAUUUAUUUUUUGGCAGCCAAUUAUUAAUCAUUUGCCCAUAUACUCCUAAAUAAAGGACUUCACUCUAGGUGAAAAACA
This 1206-nucleotide long non-coding RNA is filed under the name Monodelphis domestica (gray short-tailed opossum). Its description in RNAcentral is "lncRNA (ENSMODG00000035175.2)". The record is from RNAcentral. Lineage: Eukaryota; Metazoa; Chordata; Mammalia; Didelphimorphia; Didelphidae.